Long non-coding RNA from Malus domestica (apple), 1768 nucleotides. RefSeq lists it as uncharacterized. NCBI's taxonomy places the organism in Eukaryota, Viridiplantae, Streptophyta, Magnoliopsida, Rosales, Rosaceae. The record is from RefSeq and is a predicted model, not a curated record.
UCAUCCUUCCUCCCCAUCGCUCAUUUCAGCCGGUCCUCAUCCUUCUCAUCCUUCCCUCUUGCUUAUCGCUUCUUUCCAUCGCUCAUCUCAGCCAUUCCCGACUGCAAACCGUGCCAUAGAUUCAUCUCAGAAUCAGUACAUACAUGGUCUAGCUGCUCGAGGAGUUCAUUAUAUACAUCGGGUUGGACAGAGCCUACAUCAGUGAGACCUUUUUCACCUUCAUCUUCUUAUCUUUUGUAUUGAUAAGGUUCUUCUGUGUUGUCUUCGACAUAUUGUUUUCAUCUGCAUCACUUAUCAGUAAGUGGUGAUAAUUUCCUUUUUGUCUACACCGUUUCAUAUUUUUAAAUAUUAUUUGUUUUUUUUAUUUGUUACUUUAAUUGAAUUGAGAUUUGGCUUCAUGCUGGUAUAAACUAUAUUGUUGUUAUUGUGGUUUAAUCUUAUCCAAAAUUGUCCGAUUUGGUUAGAUAAAAAUCUUCUGAGCAUGCAAAAGCACCCCUUUCUGAUCUAUAACCCAUAGCCUUUUUUUUAAUAUUGUUCUGGGGUUCCUAAUACAGAAAGCACCCCUGAUUUAUUUUUAUCUUGGGUGACAUUUUUUAUUUGAUUCUUGAGUCUUGACAUACAUACACAAAUUCCUUUGUUGUUAAUAUUUGACAUGAGCACAUUGGGUUUGGUUGUUGAGUUCAUAUUUUCUCAGAUGUUUCACUCCCAUCAAUGAAUUAUAGUUUAUCAUGUGUACUUUGGGUUUUGGCUGUUAAUGUUUGACAUGAGUACUCUGGGUUUUGUUGGCUGAAAUGUUCUUUAAAAUCAUAAUUAUGACUUUGGUAUCGAGCCUUGACCCAUUUGCUGCUAGCUAAAAUAUUUGAUUAACCAAAAUGAAGUUACCAUCUUAUCAUCUUAUUUUCAAGUGCCUCUACUGUUGUAGUUGUAAACUCAAAAUUAUGGUGAUAUUGGAUUGCUAAUUGGAUCUGACGAUAAUAUUAAAGUAUGAAAUGGCUAAUUGGAGAUGAUGAUGAUUCAAAGUCUAAAGGAUCACAAAACUGACCAACAUCGUCUUGUCUGAUGUUUGCUACAUACACCCAUCAACAAGAAAGCACAUAAGAUAAUGAGUACAAAAUAGCUCAUUACUGUAUCCAGAUUGGCAAAUUCUAGGCAGAAACAGGAUGGUCCAUCUUGUUUGGGGUUUGUGGAGUGUUCUGAAUAGAUUUUAAACACUUGGGAUUCUUUACAAUAUGAGUUUCUUUAUUUGUGGAUGGUCCAUCUUAACUAUUACUAUAGUAGUAUUUUAGCCGAGUAUAUAUUUUGCAUAGUUUAUUAACCCUCCAAAUCAGGAAAGUAAAGGCAAGUAAAGGCCAAAAGGAGAGGAUGAAGGUUUUCAGAUCCUAAAUGAAGUCCUGGAUCAGAAGUUUGGUCGUUGUCAUGGCAAUGUUGUUCGGUGUAGAGGGAAGGCGCGGGUUCAUGAGAUGGGUGCCUCCUCUUCCAGAUCGACCACAUGAGAGGUCAAUGCCCUAAAAGAGGAAGUGACAACCUUAAAAGGUCAGCUUGUGGCCCAGGACGAGCAAAUGAGGGUUAUUGUACGGGCCUUACAGAUGUCCGGCCUCCAAAUCAUGAUGCCAGCACCUCAUCUUGCUCCACCUUCGACCUCCCAACCAUUUCACCCAGCCGAUAACCAGUAGCCUGAAGACUACUUGUUGUAGUUUUCUUUUUUGUUCGGACAUCUUGUAUGUACAUUUUCAUAUCUUUUAUAAUUAAAUACUUUUUUCUUGGUUUA